GUCUGUGUGAAGAUGUACACAGUUUGGCCUGCUCACUGAUAAAAAUUAAAGAGCCGCAGUAUUUUGACUGUGCGAAGGUAGCAUAAUAGAUUGUCUCUUAAUUGGAGGCUCGAAUGAACGGUUGGACAAAGUAUCUUCUGUUUCUUAAGUAAAUAUUGAAUUUGACUUUUAAGUGAAAAGGCUUAAAUAAACUAAAAAGACGAUAAGACCCUAUAAAUCUUUACAAAAAGUAUAUUUUAAAUUUUAAAUUAGAUGUUUUUAAAAUAUAAAAUAUACUUUUGUUGUGCUGGGGCGGCAUAGAUAUAUGAAAUAACUGUUUAUAAAUUACAAUCAAUUAAUUGUUGUUUAAAAAAUAAUUGAUCCUUUAAAAGAUUAAAAGAAUAAGAUACUUUAGGGAUAACAGCGUUAUUUUUUCUGAGAGUUCCUAUCGAAGAAAAAGUUUGCGACCUCGAUGUUGAAUUAAAGUUUCUUUGUGGUGUAGCAGUUACAGAAGAGAGUCUGUUCGACUCUUAAUACUUUACAUGAUUUGAGUUCAGACCGGCGUGAG
This 547-nucleotide ribosomal RNA is filed under the name Pagurus bullisi. RNAcentral's name for it is "partial large subunit ribosomal RNA". It matches the Rfam family "Bacterial large subunit ribosomal RNA", at positions 1819 to 2625 of the family's 2925-position model. Lineage: Eukaryota; Metazoa; Arthropoda; Malacostraca; Decapoda; Paguridae. The record is from RNAcentral.